RNAcentral lists this ribosomal RNA (518 nucleotides) under Cytospora schulzeri. RNAcentral's name for it is "partial 28S ribosomal RNA". It matches the Rfam family "Eukaryotic large subunit ribosomal RNA", at positions 89 to 630 of the family's 3401-position model. The record is from RNAcentral. Lineage: Eukaryota; Fungi; Ascomycota; Sordariomycetes; Diaporthales; Cytosporaceae.
GCGAGUGAAGCGGCAACAGCUCAAAUUUGAAAGCUGGCUCCGGCCCGCAUUGUAAUUUGCAGAGGAUGCUUCUGGUGAGGUGCCUUCCGAGUUCCCUGGAACGGGACGCCAUAGAGGGUGAGAGCCCCGUAUGGAUGGACACCAAACCUGUGUGAAGCUCCUUCAACGAGUCGAGUAGUUUGGGAAUGCUGCUCUAAAUGGGAGGUAAAUCUCUUCUAAAGCUAAAUACCGGCCAGAGACCGAUAGCGCACAAGUAGAGUGAUCGAAAGAUGAAAAGCACCUUGAAAAGGGGGUUAAACAGUACGUGAAAUUGUUGAAAGGGAAGCGCUUGUGACCAGACUUGCGCCGGGCAGCUCAUCAGGGGUUCUCCCCUGUGCACUCUGCCCGGCUCAGGCCAGCAUCGGUUCUCGUGGGAGGAUAAGAACGGUAGGAACGUGGCCCCCUUCCGGGGGGGUGUUAUAGCCUACCGUACGAUACUCCCGUGGGGACCGAGGUUCGCGCUCCGCAAGGAUGCUGGC